ACUCUCACUAACCAGCUGACAUCUGGCCUUUUGACACCUUGCCGUCACGUGUCUGAUGUUUGAUUGACGUGGCCAAUGAAUAAAGAGGCCAGCAGUACCGAAAAUAUCGGGGUCACUUCGAGUGAAGAAUUCGUGGUGUGAAGUUGCAGCUCUCUGUCCCGUGAAUUUCUUUAAGUAAGAACGAAAUGGGCGAUAAACCAGACGUAUCUGAGGUGUCAACGUUCGAUAAGAGCAAGUUGAAAAAGACUGAGACACAAGAGAAGAACACUCUUCCAACGAAAGAAACAAUUGACCAGGAGAAGAGCACCUAAGCCAA
Pocillopora damicornis (cauliflower coral) is the source of this 316-nucleotide long non-coding RNA. RefSeq lists it as uncharacterized. The record is from RefSeq and is a predicted model, not a curated record. NCBI's taxonomy places the organism in Eukaryota, Metazoa, Cnidaria, Anthozoa, Scleractinia, Pocilloporidae.